ACACUCCUGCGGGAGGCAGCAGUGGGGAAUUUUGGACAAUGGGCGAAAGCCUGAUCCAGCAAUGCCGCGUGCAGGAUGAAGGCCUUCGGGUUGUAAACUGCUUUUGUACGGAACGAAAAAACUCCUUCUAAUACAGGGGGCCCAUGACGGUACCGUAAGAAUAAGCACCGGCUAACUACGUGCCAGCAGCCGCGGUAAUACGUAGGGUGCGAGCGUUAAUCGGAAUUACUGGGCGUAAAGCGUGCGCAGGCGGUUAUGUAAGACAGAUGUGAAAUCCCCGGGCUCAACCUGGGAACUGCAUUUGUGACUGCAUGGCUAGAGUACGGUAUAGGGGGAUGGAAUUCCGCGUGUAGCAGUGAAAUGCGUAGAUAUGCGGAGGAACACCGAUGGCGAAGGCAAUCCCCUGGACCUGUACUGACGCUCAUGCACGAAAGCGUGGGGAGCAAACAGGAUUAGAAACCCGUUUAUUCCC
This 472-nucleotide ribosomal RNA is filed under the name uncultured organism. RNAcentral describes it as "partial 16S ribosomal RNA". It matches the Rfam family "Bacterial small subunit ribosomal RNA", at positions 333 to 797 of the family's 1533-position model. The record is from RNAcentral.